UGGUCAAGUUAUUAAGGGUGCAGGGCGGAUGCCUUGGCACUAGGAGCCGAUGAAGGACGUGAUAAGCUGCGAUAAGCUUCGGGGAGUUGCACGUAAACUUUGAUCCGAAGAUUUCCGAAUGAGGAAACUCACUUAGAGUAAUGUCUAAGUAUCAUUAAGUGAAUACAUAGCUUAAUGAGGGGAACUCAGGGAACUGAAACAUCUAAGUACCUGAAGGAAGAGAAAGAAAUUCGAUUCCGUAAGUAGCGGCGAGCGAACGCGGAUUAGCCCAAACCAAUAAAGUUUUCUUUAUUGGGGUUGCGGACAUAUCAUAACGAAGAGGUAUCGUAAUUGAAGAGGUUUGGAAAGACCCACCACAGAAGGUAAUAGUCCUGUAUGUUAAACGAGAAGACUUUAGAUAUGAUCCAGAGUACCACGGGACACGUGAAACCCUGUGGGAAGCAGGAGGGACCACCCUCCAAGGCUAAAUACUACCUAGUGACCGAUAGCGUAUAGUACCGUGAGGGAAAGGUGAAAAGAACCCCGGGAGGGGAGUGAAAUAGAACCUGAAACCCUGCACUUACAAGCUGUGGAAGCACAUUUCUUGUGUGACCGCGUACUUUUUGUAGAACGGGCCAACGAGUUACGUUAAGUAGCAAGGUUAAGCACUUAAGGUGCGGAGCCGUAGCGAAAGCGAGUUUUAACUGAGCGUUCAGUUACUUGACGUAGACCCGAAACCGGGCGACCUACCCAUGAGCAGGAUGAAGCGAAAGUAAAAUUUCGUGGAGGUCCGAACCCACGAGCGUUGAAAAGCUCGGGGAUGACUUGUGGGUAGCGGUGAAAUUCCAAUCGAGCCCGGAGAUAGCUGGUUCUCCCCGAAAUAGCUUUAGGGCUAGCCUCAAGGUGAGAGAUACGGAGGUAGAGCACUGAAUGUCCUAGGGGGUAUUGCACCUACCGAAGACUAUCAAACUCCGAAUGCCGUCAUCUUAUACUUGGGAGUCAGACUGUGGGUGAUAAGAUUCAUAGUCGAAAGGGCAACAGCCCAGAUCGUCAGCUAAGGUCCCUAAAUGUAAGUUAAGUGGUAAAGGAUGUGGGAUUGCACAGACAACCAGGAUGUUGGCUUAGAAGCAGCCACUCAUUCAAAGAGUGCGUAAUAGCUCACUGGUCGAGUGAUCCUGCGCCGAAGAUUUCCGGGGCUAAAACUUACUACCGAAGCUACGGCAUCAGUAAUGAUGGGUAGGGGGGCUUCCCAUACGGGUUGAAGCAUGACCGUAAGGACAUGUGGACAGUAUGGGAGUGAGAAUGUUGGCAUGAGUAGCGAGAUGUGGGUGGGAAUCCCACAGGCCGUAAACCCAAGGUUUCCAGGGGAAGGUUCGUCC
Molecule: ribosomal RNA, 1358 nt
Filed under: Clostridioides difficile
Lineage: Bacteria; Bacillati; Bacillota; Clostridia; Peptostreptococcales; Peptostreptococcaceae
Description: bacterial LSU rRNA
Rfam family: Bacterial large subunit ribosomal RNA
Source: RNAcentral